AGUCCAGUGGGGCUUAUAUAUGUAAUUUAUUUUUUAUUUUUUAAAACUUAGUGGGUGCGGCUUAUAUUCAGGUGCGCUCUAUAGUCCAGAAAAUACGGUACAUGAUAUCCUGACAACGUUUUCUUUCAAAGAGGGCGCAUCAAUUAAACAGCUGUGGAGACAUUUCACAAAAAUGUGAUUAACAAAGUAUGAAUAAACCCCUGUGGAUGUCAGAUAGCUGUUUUCUUUUUGGCACACUGAAGUCCACAAUUCUUCACUUCUUAGUCAAGCUGCAGCAAAUGACCCCAAACUGGGAAAACAAAAGGCAGAAAAAAGUGAAACAACUGAAUGAAAAGUCUCUUUAUUGAAUGUUUUUCAGAGGACCACCACAUACAUACAACCCACGCCAAACCUUUUACAUCAAGUCCCAAACACGGAUAUCAAGUGCCCGAUCCCCCGAGGAGCAAACUGUGAAUUGUUCCUACAGUAUAUACCGUACAUAACGGGUAUAAAAAAAUAAGAUUCUUCACAUACUGUCAGUUGUGUCGAAACUCUUUUUUCUUUUACUAAACUGUAUCAGGAGUUCGCCACUUUAAACUCAAGAGAAAAAAAACAAAAAAACGAAACAGAGCAGGGACAGACGAGAAAUAAAU
This is a long non-coding RNA of Larimichthys crocea (large yellow croaker), 632 nucleotides long. RefSeq lists it as uncharacterized. The record is from RefSeq and is a predicted model, not a curated record. The transcript is spliced from 2 exons. Lineage: Eukaryota; Metazoa; Chordata; Actinopteri; Sciaenidae.